UUACUCCUACGGGAGGCAGCAGUGGGGAAUAUUGGACAAUGGGCGAAAGCCUGAUCCAGCCAUGCCGCGUGUGUGAAGAAGGUCUUCGGAUUGUAAAGCACUUUAAGUUGGGAGGAAGGGCAUUAACCUAAUACCUUGCUGUUUUGACGUUACCGACAGAAUAAGCACCGGCUAACUUCGUGCCAGCAGCCGCGGUAAUAA
Molecule: ribosomal RNA, 201 nt
Filed under: Stutzerimonas stutzeri
Lineage: Bacteria; Pseudomonadati; Pseudomonadota; Gammaproteobacteria; Pseudomonadales; Pseudomonadaceae
Description: partial 16S ribosomal RNA
Rfam family: Bacterial small subunit ribosomal RNA
Source: RNAcentral